RNAcentral lists this transfer RNA (77 nucleotides) under Helicobacteraceae bacterium CG1_02_36_14. Its description in RNAcentral is "tRNA-Met". It matches the Rfam family "tRNA". Rfam says of the family: Transfer RNA (tRNA) molecules are approximately 80 nucleotides in length. Their secondary structure includes four short double-helical elements and three loops (D, anti-codon, and T loops). Further hydrogen bonds mediate the characteristic L-shaped molecular structure. tRNAs have two regions of fundamental functional importance: the anti-codon, which is responsible for specific mRNA codon recognition, and the 3' end, to which the tRNAs corresponding amino acid is attached (by aminoacyl-tRNA synthetases). tRNAs cope with the degeneracy of the genetic code in two manners: having more than one tRNA (with a specific anti-codon) for a particular amino acid; and 'wobble' base-pairing, i.e. permitting non-standard base-pairing at the 3rd anti-codon position. RNAcentral also lists the same sequence under 28 other names. Lineage: Bacteria; Pseudomonadati; Campylobacterota; Epsilonproteobacteria; Campylobacterales; Helicobacteraceae. The record is from RNAcentral.
GGGUCUUUAGCUCAGUUGGUUAGAGCCCUCCGCUCAUAACGGAGUGGUCAUGUGUUCGAGUCACAUAGGACCCACCA